GGUAGUAUGACUUAGCAUACACUAAAAUUGGAAUGAUGUGGGAAGAUUAGUAUGGCUCCUGCUCAAAGAUGUCACACAAAUUCAAGGAGCAUUCCAUAUUUUU
This is a small nuclear RNA of Otolemur garnettii (small-eared galago), 103 nucleotides long. Lineage: Eukaryota; Metazoa; Chordata; Mammalia; Primates; Galagidae. The record is from Ensembl.